GCAAGUGUUGUGCUUAACAGCUCUAGGAGUCAAACGGGGUAGAAGAAUGAAUGAAAUUAUCCAGUCAAGACAUUCUGUAUAAGACGUACCGGUUAGAAAUGAGGUCACAUGUGCAGCAUGCAUAGUUUGAGUAUUUUGAAGAACAUUGUAAAACUAUAAAUGUGAACAGUGACAUACAACAUAAUACUGUACCAGAAAGGCUAGAGCUAACUCAGGCUGUUGUAGCUACUCUUGGAUUUGUCAGCAAUUUGAAGGAAAGAUUUUCAGGAAAGUGUUUUUCCUCAACAG
RNAcentral lists this long non-coding RNA (288 nucleotides) under Gallus gallus (chicken). RNAcentral describes it as "lncRNA (ENSGALG00010019930.1)". Lineage: Eukaryota; Metazoa; Chordata; Aves; Galliformes; Phasianidae. The record is from RNAcentral.